GAUGAACGCUGGCGGCGUGCCUAAUACAUGCAAGUCGAGCGAACGGACGAGAAGCUUGCUUCUCUGAUGUUAGCGGCGGACGGGUGAGUAACACGUGGAUAACCUACCUAUAAGACUGGGAUAACUUCGGGAAACCGGAGCUAAUACCGGAUAAUAUUUUGAACCGCAUGAUUCAAAAGUGAAAGACGGUCUUGCUGUCACUUAUAGAUGGAUCCGCGCUGCAUUAGCUAGUUGGUAAGGUAACGGCUUACCAAGGCAACGAUGCAUAGCCGACCUGAGAGGGUGAUCGGCCACACUGGAACUGAGACACGGUCCAGACUCCUACGGGAGGCAGCAGUAGGGAAUCUUCCGCAAUGGGCGAAAGCCUGACGGAGCAACGCCGCGUGAGUGAUGAAGGUCUUCGGAUCGUAAAACUCUGUUAUUAGGGGAGAACAUAUGUGUAAGUAACUGUGCACAUCUUGACGGUACCUAAUCAGAAAGCCACGGCUAACUACGUG
This 497-nucleotide ribosomal RNA is filed under the name uncultured bacterium. RNAcentral's name for it is "partial 16S ribosomal RNA". It matches the Rfam family "Bacterial small subunit ribosomal RNA", at positions 28 to 507 of the family's 1533-position model. The record is from RNAcentral.